Cinara cedri is the source of this 201-nucleotide non-coding RNA. The record is from the annotation of a GenBank genome assembly. NCBI's taxonomy places the organism in Eukaryota, Metazoa, Arthropoda, Insecta, Hemiptera, Aphididae.
GGAUUUAAUCACAAAUUGUUUCCGUACACUGUCGCACUACAAUUCACGGCGCAAACGAAUACUCCACGGGUUAACCAAUAUGUUUUUCCCUGUCAGCAUCAAUAUAGACAUGACACUAAAUCAGCUGAUCGGGUGUUCGCGGUUUACCUGUGAUCGAAAUUCCGAACUUUCCAGAAACACGGAAACGAGUCCGCAUACCAA